Molecule: ribosomal RNA, 429 nt
Filed under: Chloroflexota bacterium
Lineage: Bacteria; Bacillati; Chloroflexota
Description: Chloroflexi bacterium partial 16S ribosomal RNA
Rfam family: Bacterial small subunit ribosomal RNA
Source: RNAcentral
UGGGGAAUAUUGCACAAUGGGCGCAAGCCUGAUGCAGCCAUGCCGCGUGUAUGAAGAAGGCCUUCGGGUUGUAAAGUACUUUCAGCGGGGAGGAAGGGAGUAAAGUUAAUACCUUUGCUCAUUGACGUUACCCGCAGAAGAAGCACCGGCUAACUCCGUGCCAGCAGCCGCGGUAAUACGGAGGGUGCAAGCGUUAAUCGGAAUUACUGGGCGUAAAGCGCACGCAGGCGGUUUGUUAAGUAAGAUGUGAAAUCCCCGGGCUCAACCUGGGAACUGCAUCUGGUACUGGCAAGCUUGAGUCUCGUAGAGGGGGGUAGAAUUCCAGGUGUAGCGGUGAAAUGCGUAGAGAUCUUGGGGAAUAACGGUGGCGAAGGCGGCCCCCUGGACGAAGACUGACGCUCAGGUGCGAAAGCGUGGGGAGCAAACAGG